This 2066-nucleotide small RNA is filed under the name Theobroma cacao (cacao). RNAcentral's name for it is "sRNA Tc06v2_g001370". The record is from RNAcentral. Lineage: Eukaryota; Viridiplantae; Streptophyta; Magnoliopsida; Malvales; Malvaceae.
UUGCCAGCUGGGUGUCUCAAGUAAAACCUAUCAAACCAAAAGGAAACGCAAAAUGCCCCUCCCUCGUUCCAAAUCUCUUUUUUCUUAUUAUUGAAAGGAAAUUUUACUCAAUAAAAUUAAUAAACAACAUAGAUAACAACAAUACUCAUUCAAAUAAGUUCGACAAAAAAACAAGAUAAUCUAUCCUUUACUAAUCUAAAACACUUCAUUUGGUUGAAUGAUUGUGGUUAUUAGUGAUUUUCAUAUCACUACCCAGGGUAUAAUUUUGAUAAUUUUGAACUCCCACACAGCAAACACAAAUUCAAUUUUGAAUUUGUUCUUGAUCUUGAGAGAUAGUAUUAGCCUUAAUUAGGGAAUCGAUUUGUGUUUAAUGUGUGGGAGUUCCUUUCCAAAAGUGAAAAUCGAAUUUGUGUCUCUCAUGUUGAAUUUUCAUUUGCUAUGUGUUCGAGUUUAUCUCUCAAUGAAAGGUUGUGUAUUUGCUUUUAAAAUAUCUCGUCUCACUCAUGUGAACAAAUUUUAAUUAACUGUUCAACCCGGAAAAACUGGAAAUGCUGGAUUAGUGAUGAAUAAUAGCAUUUGGGAAUUUUGUUCCAAAGCUCUAUUUCACAAGCUGUCGUAGUUCUGUCGGAUGUGGAAUCUUGCCUCCAUUGUUUGCCUUUCCAUAAGCUAUGUGUGGUUUUUGAAUUGGGUGUUACUUUAUUGAGAAGAAUGGCUAUUGCUCUUUGCAUAACUGUCCCAUUUGCAGUGGAAGCAUGGUGAUUAACUUACGCAUUUGGUUGUUCGGCAUAUAGUUUUAAAGUCUUCAAUAGUUCAUUUGUUUGUCUGCUUCUAUUUGUGUGGUUGGUGAUGCUUUUUAAUACCAGAACAAGGCUGGAAAUCCAAGCUGAUGCAGCAUGUGUGGAUCUGGCCCAUAGUUGAAUAGCUUUGACGGCAACAUAAGACCCAAGAGGAAAGAGGGAGAGAAAUGGCGACGGCCAAAACGGGACGGUCCACGCGAGCGUCGGCGGGAGAUGCGAAAGAAAACGGCACGAAAAUCGAGGAAGGCCUGAAUGUUUUCAAAUCCGAUAAGUCUGACGCCGAUGCUUUUGUUCAGUCCAAGUGUUCUCUCAACGACAAGGAAAUAAGGCAAUUAUGUUCUUAUCUAUUGGAUUUGAAGAGAGCUUCUGCUGAAGAAAUGCGUAAAAGUGUAUAUGCUAAUUGUUCCGCGUUUAUGCGAGAAUUUUGCAUUCCAUUGCCUUGCUGCCUGCUUCAAACCAUACAGAGAUUUAUGUAAUUUGCAAACCAGUCUUGACUUUGCAGUGUACUCCCCCUUGACAGAAUACCCCUCAGAACUGAAUGUUUCCUGGUAAUCAAAUCCUGCUACCUGAUUGUAUCCUUCAGCAACCAGGCGUGCUUUGAAUCUUUCCACUUCACCAUUUGCUUUCAGUUUCACCUUAUAUACCCACCUGCAACCAAUGCUAUGACAAUUUGAAGGUAGAGGUACAACAGUCCAUGUAUCAUUAUCCUCCAAAGCAUGCAAUUCAAGAGCCGUGGCCUCUCUCUAGUGGGAAUCAUUCACAGCCUGAUGAUAAGAAACAGGUUCUUGUAUAUGUGACAAUGAAGUGGUAAAGGACUUGUGUGAAGGAGAAAGUUUUUGAGGUGACAGGAAUUUGGCAAUUGGAUAGGAGGCACAGAAAGUGUUUUCAUUAGUAGCUAGUUCAGGCUGAUUUGUGCUGUCUGCAAUGGGCAGACUGCUUGAAGGUGAUGAAUCAGGGUUAUGGUCAAAAUGAUCAAGAUAUAUGUCAUGCACAGCAGGUGUUUGAUGAAAAGUUAAUGGCUGCUGAUCAUGCUGUUUAAUUCGAAAUGGAAAUGUUUGUUCGUGAAAAAUCACAUUUCUUGAUUUUAGGACGUUGUUAGCACUAAGAUCAUAAACCUUAUAACCCUUCAUGUUAUUUGGAUACCCUAGGAAUAUGCAUUUAGUGGCCCUUUUAUCUAGUUUCUUCCUAUUUUGUGUUAAUGUGAACAUAAAGCACAAACAUCCAAAUACUCUCAAAUGAUCAUACGAAGGCAAUUUGUGAUGGAGGAGC